AUACAUCGAUGACAUUCUGAUUAUUACCGAGAGGCCAAAUCACCUAAUGGAUUUAGAAGAGAGAUUUACUGACCAUAUUUAGGACUAAAAUUAAUAAAACAAAAAGAGAAUGAGGAAGAGAUAAGCUAUCUUGAUCUUAAAAUAAAAAUAGUACAUGGAAAAUAUAAUUUUAGCAUUUUUAGAAAACACAUACAUACCAAUCUUCAUCAAAGCGGACUCAAACGAACACUGGCACUACAAAAUGGCAGCCUUUAGAGCAUUACUCCAACUGGCACAAAUACACUGUAUGACACAAGCAGACAAGAAUGAAGAAAUUAAAUGGAUAAUGCAACACAAGCAACCCACUAUGGAUAUAACCAUAGUACAAUU
Molecule: long non-coding RNA, 369 nt
Filed under: Androctonus crassicauda
Lineage: Eukaryota; Metazoa; Arthropoda; Arachnida; Scorpiones; Buthidae
Source: RNAcentral